This 586-nucleotide long non-coding RNA is filed under the name Lactuca sativa (garden lettuce). RNAcentral's name for it is "long non-coding RNA (LSAT_LNC005796)". The record is from RNAcentral. Lineage: Eukaryota; Viridiplantae; Streptophyta; Magnoliopsida; Asterales; Asteraceae.
UGUGUGUGACAUGCUGCUACCGCGCCGGCUCCUUUCCCCUAGCUGAGGAGGUACCUGAAACCAAAACUGAAACUGUAAGCACAAAGCUUAGUGAGUUCCCCCAUAAUACCCCAUACCAUGCAACAUAUAACAACCAAUGUUCAGCUAGGAGUUACGGGCCUUGCCCACACUCGGGAAGAUACGGGCCCUGCCCACACUUCGCUAGCCGGGAGAUACGGGCCUCGCCCACACUUGUGAAGAUACGGGCCCUGCCCACACUUCGCUAUCUGGGAGAUACGGGCCUAGCCCACACUCCAACCUCGGAGAGAUACAGGCCCUGCCCACACUCAACCGCUAACCCAUAACAUACAAGUAUCACGCAGACAACAAGUAUAAGCAACUCUAUCAUAUUAACACAUAUAUCAUACUUGACUAAACCCAGAGAUACGGGCUCGGCCCACACUCUAGUACUAGCAUCUCGUCUACACGGGUCGGCCUUGGUGCCUUAGACCCGUUCCUACUGGAAAGGAAACUCACCUCGAAAUAGCUGCUGGUCUGUGUGGGAAUUGAUCACCUACUACUGCUGCUGCUGCUCCGGAAACCCUCC